AACAAAAAACAAACAAAAAAGAAUUCGACCAGUGGGUGCUUUCCCCUAUUUUCUGGAUGGAGAAGAAGAAUCGAAGAGGCACUCAGGAAUUGCCUGGAGAAAUAUGACCAAUGAUACAGUAAAUAUAUCUACAAUUACUCACAGGAGUCACUAAAGCAGGUUUCACUCCUUUGUAAAUGUCUCUUCCUUGUAGCGCAAAGGAAGUUCCUAAUGGCAUGUGUCUUUCUUCUUUAAUCCAAUAUACCUUGAGAACAAUAAUAGUAGUAGUUUCAGAAAUACCAAAUUACAUUUAUGCAAUACUGUAAAAUUUACAAAGUUGAGCAUUAGGAAUUCAUGUUUGAAAAAAUAUUAAUUCUGGACAAGUGAUUAGUCAGGUAGGAUGACAGGAUUUGGAAAUGAGGGAGUGAGUAUUGGUCAUAAAUGAACAAAUAUCUCAUUGGGCGUGCUGGAGGUCCUGCUCUUAGAGGAGGAAAUCUGCCAUUCCACACUGCAGUACUCUGGAAUGCCUCAGAACCUUCCUUUGCAAAUUAGAACAGGGAUAGAGGGAAGGGUCAUUCAGAAUUUGAGCUAAUUAGAUCAUCUAGCCAAUAGGAGAAAUGUUAGACCGGCACUUUUUUUGUAAUCCUAACUUGCAUCAUACACUGGUUUUGUGAACGGGCCCAAAGAACUCCUUGAAGGGAACAUGACACAAACCUCAGUGGAGGCUAUUUAGCCCUGUUCCCAGGACCAUGCCAACUGCCUAGUGCCAGCGAAAACUGUCUCCACAAGUCCAGCACUUGGCAGGCACCACCUGACCCUCUGCCUUGAGUUCAGAAAGGAUUUUUUAAAUUCACAUACUGUAAAAUUUACCUGUUUAAACUGUACAAUUCAGUGGUUUCAGUAUAUUAACAGUUAUAUGACUAUCAUCAUUACCUAAUUCCAGAACCUUUUUAUCACCUCAAGAAGACGUCAUACCCAUUGGCAAUCACUGCUAAUUCCCUUCCUUCUGCCCUCUGGGCCCUGGAAACCACUCAUUUUUUGUGUCUAUAGAUUUUCCUAUUCUGGACAUUUCAUAUAAAUGGAGUCAUGCAAUAUGUUGUCUUGUGCGUGUGGCUUCUUUCCUUUAAUGUCUUACAGUUUAUUCAUGUUGUAGCUUAUAUCAGUACUUCAGUCUUUUCUACAACUAAUAGUCCAUUGUAUGCAUAUAGUACCUUUUGUUUACCUCUUCAUCUGUUCAUCCUUUCAGAAGGAUCUUGGUACUAGUCUGAGCUGAACUUGAAAGCUACAGACAAUGAGUUUUUUUUCCAUCUCCUAACAUAGUAAAAAUCAGCGUUUUAGGAAGAUUAUUGUGGUGGGCCCAUAAAGACCAGAUCUACGGUGAGGCAGAGAUGGAGGAUGAUGAAAUUUGGAGCCUCAUUCUAUUAAAUUGGAGAGAAAAGUCAAGGUCACCAAGGGAAUCUUUGUGCAAGAAGCAGACUCAUUCUCAUUCUCUCUCUCCUCUCUCUCUCUCUGUCUCUCUCUCUCUCUCUCUCCCCCUGCCUGUCUCCAGUUCUGACCAUAAAGCCGUAAGGCCACAGGCUUUAAAGAGUGGCUAUCCUGGGGUUGAGGGCCCAGUGGUGGUUUCAACCUUGUCUCAUACUUCUCCUGGCAGCUCUGUUGAAAAUCAGCCGACCACACUCCUUCCUGGAACAUACAUCGCUGAUAAUUGCCUCUUGCACAAUUAUCUGCCAAACCCCGUUGUUAAUGAAAUGAAUGAUUUAGUUAUCCUUGUUAGUAAUGGCCCACACUGCACAAAGACCCAUUAUUGCAUCCAUGAGGCUGGCAGGAGUGCCGGCCAAGGCACCUGUGAGCGAUUCUUAAAAUUAGCUCUCUUACCAGCUUGAUUGGAGAGGAGAAGGCUGCCAGUGGCCACAGGGGUGCAGCCUGUCCCCUGCAUGGUCCCCACGAUGCAUCAAGAGCUGGGAGCAUCUAGGGGCAAAAUAAGAAAUGAGGCCAGGACUGAGCUCUUUGUUUGCCAGUUUUGACCUGCAAAGCCUGGGGCCGCUUCCCCCUAGCACAGGGGAAGGACAGCCUGAAGGACGGUGGGGACAUGCAUCAUGUCAGGUUUCCUUGGGUCCAGGGAGCAGCUCGGCUGACUGGCAGAUGAGGUACCUUGAAGCAUAUUGGGGUAUCCUAUUAAUAAAACACCUCUCCCCAUCACACACCACGGCACAGCUCCUCGCCCUCCCUCAACUCCUCUGCCAAAGAGAACAUCUUUCCUUUGCUGGUAAUACUGGGUUUUUGCUCCCCUCCCUCCUUGCUGCCCAGAGUGGCUGUACAGUACUGCUCUUUCGUUUCCUGUUAGGCCCCAUCUUCCUCUAGUGCUCGUUCCUGCUGCUUUUCAAGGGAAGGGAGAACACGAGCAAGAGAAGUAGACACAAAUGGGCAUGACUGGGGCAAGUAGAACUGCUCAAGGUAAAUAGAGACACAAACAGAGAAAGUAAUUUGCAGGACAUUGUGUUAACGCACACAAGAAUGUGUACACACACACACACACACACACACUUGCACAUACACAUUUCAUCUUGUCUUCGGGACGAUGACAUUCAGGAAUAAGUUCUUCAGUUUGGGAAAUAGCUGCCCAGAGUUGUGACUGAGAAAUGUGUUUCAGCUUAAAGAGACUAGACUAACAUGGGGUUAAGGGACUCUUGCGAAAUGAGCAGAACCAAGUGUGCAUUGAGUGUGCACAGAGGCAGGUAUUAGAGGCUGUGUAAUGGGGUGGGUGGUCCGUGCAUUGACCCGGCUUCACUCCUUUGGCUGGUUGUGACUCUGCAUAAGCCAUUUAAUCCACAGCAAAAGAUAGAUGCUUGAAAACUGCUUUCACACAUACAGAUUUAUUCAUGUUGACAACCUCUGCAUGCCACUCAGUAAAAGUUUCCAGGCUACUUGCAAUAAUAAUGCAACAGAAGGAUAAACUAAUUUAUGUCAGAGGAACAUAAUAUGUAAAAAAUAUAAUAAAAUGAAAGGUGAGAUUAGCACCUGAAAAUCUCUCUAUUAAUGACUCAAAAGCCUACUAAUAUGGCCCUGAGAGGUAUGGCCCUUCCUAAUUUUGACAGUGAGAAAUAUAUCACCCUGGGUCCUGAUAGAGAGGACCUGUGGAGGCAGAGGGCAGUGCCCUGGUUAACACCCCUCCAGUGGAGAAGGAGAAGACCCCAUUACGACUGCUAUAUGACAGGGGAGGCCAGCACUCCCGCCAGUACACGGCAAAGUACCGUGGCCCAAAUUAUCCAGCUUCAUCUUCACUGUCUAUACCAGUCAUGUUCAAUGACUUAUAAAAAGCAGUGAUACUCUUCUAGUCCAAUAAAAUCUUGCACAAGCACAGAGAAAACAGGGAGGGUGGGUCACUGUUUCAGAGGGGGAAGGGCUGACCAUUUUCUUAGGGCCUCUCUUUCCCCACGCGGAGACUGGUGAGGCUGAUGAGGCACCUUUGCUCUGAAUCCCAAGCGUCUGAAAACCCCUUGUCCGAUCUAGGUGAAAGGAUGGAUAUCAGAAAGCAAGGAGGGAGGGAGGGGAGAAAUAGAGGAAUGAAGGGAGGGAGGAAAGAAUGUUGGUUUUUAUUGCCACUUGCGCAGGAGUCUUGUGGGAGCCAGUGGGGAAGUUGUUAUUUUGAAUCGGGUAAAUUGGGGCUUCCUCUUCUUGUUCGUCAAGACCACUUUUUGGCUCUUUUCAUCCCAAUAAAACAAACCAUGAUACACUAAGAGACUGAAGAGACAGUACAAUGCACUUUUUUAAGUGUCUGGGCUCCAAACCAAACUGCCUGGGUUUGAAUCCUGGCCCUGCUACUUAUUGCUGUGUGAUACUGGACAAGUUACUUAACGUCUCUGUGCCUGUUUUCUCAUCUGCAGAAAUAGGUGCUGAUAGUACCUACCUCGUGGGAUUAUUGUGAGGAGAAAAUGUGUUGGCAUGCGUACGACCUUUAGAAUGGCGUUUGCCACAUGGUCUGGGAAUAAAUGUCAGCCGUUAUUAUGUUGUGGGUAUAUAAAUACACUACUCCUUGCAAUGUCAGUUUUUGCUCACACAAUUUCCAGCCCUCUGCCCUCAGGUGAGCCAGCCUGUCUCAUCUCAGGGCCUCACGGUGGCUUAGCUCACCCGUCAGUGGGAGCAGGUGGCUGAGCUGCAGCCAGGGUUCUGUGAGCGUGGUGGGUUGGGGAGGGAAAGGAGUGAGGUUUGGAGUCCUUUUGUUGUUUUGCUUGGGUCAGAAGGAGUCUGCGGUAGCAUGCAGUCAUCAUCUUAUUUUACAGCUGCAGGAUGUUGGUAGACAAACUUCUCCCUAAUCUAUAUGAUCUAUAAGCCCAAAGGGAAACAGGGGGCGGUCACAGGAGCUCAGUGGCCUCCUCUUUCACAGCAGCUAUGUGAUGUGGCUGAGCUCUGAGAAAGAGCACUUGGCUAUGGUGCAACUGGCCUGAAAUUCAUAGCCCCAUUCUCUUGAUCUGAGUUGCUUCUUGGGGAUGAGCGUGGCACCACAGCGUCUCAGGUGCUAUAUAGGGGACUUCCCAUGAGUUUCCCAUAUCAGUUGUAAGAUGCUGUCUAUACAGGAGGGGAUGGUUUUAUGAAGACACAGGGGAGAGUUACCAGCAGAUUGAUGGCCAAAGCUUUGAGCUAGAUGGUUUUCAUCUUCCUGAAACAUCACCCUAGGGUUUUCCUGAUGUUUCCAUCAAUCUGUUAAGUGCAGUGUGUGGUCGUGUCCCUCAGGGAGUUUCCCAUUUACUCUGGAAGACCAAACUUACAGGCUACACUCUGGGUGCAGACAGUGCUAGUCCUGUGGGGAGUUGGGAAAAAGGAGUGGGAGGCUUUGCGGCCGAGGAGGGGCUUCAGGGCAGCAAGGAUGACGGCUGGGUUUGAACAGUCAGUGGAGAAGGAAGUGUGGAAAGGCCAGAGAAGUAGACAUGGAUGUGUGCAUGCCAGAGAAGGCAGGCAGACAGGGCUCAUGGAGGGGGCAGAAGCAGCACAUUGAUCUCUGCUUCUGCCAGAAGAUCAGAGGGGAUAUCAGGGGGGUGGUCUGGCCAGAGUAAGGGCAGACUUGAAGCCCCAGUGGAAUAAUUUUGACUUGAUUCUAUGGAAAAUGACAUAAAACAGUGUAGGAGGGCUUGUCUUCUAACUGAAACCAGCUGGGAAUCUUUCCCGAUUGUCAAGGGCAGGGCAGAGAGAGGGCCUUUGGCAGCAUGUGCAAAUGCACAUGCAUGUAACCAGUGUGUGUGGCCCACCGGGCUUCUAAACCUACCUUUACCUCUUCUAGUUCUUCAAAUCUCUUAACCCUCUUGUCUGUGAGCAUGAACAAUCCGGGGCUUACACAGACAAGACCACAGUGUGCCAUCUUGUCAGAAGGAGAAACUGAGGCACUCUAUUGUAAAGAAGCUGGUUCUAGGACCUGCCCUUGAGUCACUGUGUAGUAAGACCCAGCGUGUGGGCCCUUCCUUCAGGGAUCUGGCUUCUAAAGUUGGUUUUUUUCCUGUAUCUCAUAAAGAGGGAAAGGAUGUGCCUAAGAGAGGUUAUUUGGACGAAUGGCCAUUUUAAUUGCCUUCUAUCAGGCACAGGUGGAUAGAGACAGGUGUGGGAAAGAGGGUUGCCUGGACCUGGGUUUCCCAAUCCCCCAUACUCCUUGGCCUAUCAUUGAGAGGCAGCUAGAGGAGGCGUGCGGACUUAGCAGAUUAAGAAAGAUAAACGCUUACUCUUUAACAGUGGGAAAGAGGGACGGAAGAAUAAGAUUGAAAUCUGUGGCAAGAGGACUGGCCUAGCCUGGUGGAGGCAGGAGAGGCACGUGUGCUCUACAUGCCCAUCCAAGUCUCUGGUAGGGUGGUCCUUGCUCUGAGGGAAGAGUGUGGGCCACAGGCCACAGCGACGCUCUGAGGAUGUGGGUGCUGCCCAUCUUGAAGUUUCUCCCCACCCUCUCCGGAGCUGCUACCAUUGUCCUUUGCCCUCGGAGUGCUCUCCUCCCACCCCCACUGCCUCUUGUUCUCUUUCUCCCUUGGGCCAUUAGAAUGGCAGGCAGCCCAGCCAGGGCCUGGACGGCGGCCUCAGCUCCCUGUUCUCAAUAAUUGUGUGUGUGUGCAUAUGUGCAUGUGUACGUGUGAGUGCCUGUGUGUGUGUGUGCGUGUGUGUGUAGGGGCUGGGGCUGGGGUCAACAACAGAUCAGAGCACAGGAGUAGAGAGCUUCUGGGAGGGUGGGGUCACCCAUGAGUCACGUCCUACACCCUGGAGCCCAGAGGACCCUUCGCUCAAACCCACCACCAGCUGGCAACACCGGAGCAGCCAGAGCCGCUUUCUUCACUGCCCAGAGGAGCCUGGGAGAAGCCAGAGGUGUAAGUCAAGCUAUGGAGGACUGGGCGUGGCUGAGCUCCAUGAGAAGUGGGAGGAGCCAGGGAUGCUUAGGAGGGGCAGGCACUGUGCAGCGAGAGAGGAGGGAAAGGGGAAGCGUUUGUGUCUCUCUGCCCCCUGUCUCCCUCCUGCUGCAUAGUAGCCACAUCCAUGUCUCUUGUACCCUGCAAUCUGGAGGCCACUGCCAGAAGCUGGAAAUCCCAAGUAGAGCAGCAAAAGGUAUGAGGAUUGGCACGAAGUGAUGGCCAGUGGAGGCUCCCCAAAGUGCAUGGAAGGUGGUGGUCAGGUCUAAAGGCAGGAGUGCUGGGGCAACCCCAUAGCUGGGGGUCCUCUGGGAGAGGCUGAGGAACUUCAGUCUGUGGACUCUCAGGCAGCUGUGUUACUGAGGAGAGGAAGGGGAAGUAGACGGGGUAGGGGUGGUGGUUUGAACAAGACCCAAAUCCUGCUUCUACUUAUAGGUGCUCACAAAGGCCAGUGCCCUGGAAAAGCUCUGGAAUAAAUACACCUGGGCCUUAGAAAGCAGAGGCAGGAGACCGUGCCAUCCAGUGGGGGCUUUCAUUUGUUUCCUCAGCCAGCCUCUGUGUCAGGGUUUUUGGGAACAAGGGCUGGAAGAACAAGGCCUUGGGAGUUCCUGUGGGGAGGGACUGGGAGUGAAUGGGCAGUGUGGCUGGCCCGGUGGUCACUUCUCCUCUGCUUGUCUAGGCUUGAGGACGGAUUCUUGGCUCCUGGGGCAUUGCCACUCCCUGCCACCCUCCUUCUUGUCUUCUGUCUUCUCCUGGUGGCAUCAGGCCUUGCUUCGUGUCCCAACAGGAGCCUCUGGGGCUGGCACAGCCCUCACUGCCUGCAACCUGGGCCUGGUGGUUCUUCUAGGGUGCCUCUCGGAGGUCGAGGCCACCCCGCUGCUGGCUAACUGCAGUUACUUCUGCCAGCCAGUGGACUACAGAUGGAACAAGCAUGGAAUGAGGGUAUGGCAGGGAGCAGGAAGCAAGCCUGGAGAGGGUUAGGAGAAACAGCUUCAUAACAAUCGGAGGUCAAGGAGGCAUCUUUCUGGAGACAGGUAGGCACUGUGGAAUCAGCGGUGCGUAGAACAGUGAGGAUUUGGGGCUGAACCCAGCCCAGGUGGAACAAGCCGUGGCACCAGCCGGACUGCAGUCUGAUGGAACUUCCCCUUCCUGCCCAGCAGAUGGCGAGCAUGUGCUGCUGGUGCCUCUUUCCAAAGGAUGUUGAAUUGCUUGUCAGGUGUUCUUUACUUUAUGAAUGAAGCCAGAGCAGCCCACCUUCCUGCAUCUCUACCACCAUGGCACCAUGCCCUGUGAUGGGUGGGCUGGAGUCAAAUACGUAGCAGACAGCCAGGGUCAGUUUGUGGCCACUGUGCCCCCUCUUCCUACAGUCUCCUCACCGAGUGCCCCUUCCCUGUUGGGUUCAACACAUCUGUGCUCCUGUAAGCCCUCAGCCUCCUCGUUCUCUUCCUCAACUUCUACCACCAGACACACCUGAGAGGCAAACAAGAGAGGCUGAACUAGGAGCAGGACACAGGGACUGAAACCAGCACAGCAUCCCCACAAAGAAUUGAGUGGAAGGCAGCAUGGCUUCCAGCUUACUGGUGCCAAGCAGAUUCCUCUGGGUCUCCAUUGUAUCCUCUGAAUGAAGGAGGAGGAUUGCCUUCUGUCCAGAUCUCAGGAUCAAACAAAUAAGUCCAACUUCCUGUGCUCACUUCAGUUAGAGCACUUCUCAUGUGACUUUGUAGCUUUGUGUGCAUCUCUUUCCUCUACUAGACCUAAGCCCCUCACUGGAGGGACUCUCUUAUUCUCAAUGUUCCCCACACCUGGAAUUUCAAUAAACAUCUCAAUAAA
Long non-coding RNA from Nomascus leucogenys (northern white-cheeked gibbon), 8186 nucleotides. RefSeq lists it as uncharacterized. The record is from RefSeq and is a predicted model, not a curated record. The transcript is spliced from 5 exons. NCBI's taxonomy places the organism in Eukaryota, Metazoa, Chordata, Mammalia, Primates, Hylobatidae.